This 170-nucleotide ribosomal RNA is filed under the name Enterococcus avium. Its description in RNAcentral is "partial 23S ribosomal RNA". It matches the Rfam family "Bacterial large subunit ribosomal RNA", at positions 2759 to 2925 of the family's 2925-position model. The record is from RNAcentral. Lineage: Bacteria; Bacillati; Bacillota; Bacilli; Lactobacillales; Enterococcaceae.
AGGGAUAAACGCUGAAAGCAUCUAAGUGUGAAGCCCACCUCAAGAUGAGAUUUCCCAUUUCUUUAAGAAAGUAAGAUCCCUGAGAGAAGAUCAGGUAGAUAGGUCAGGAGUGGAAGUGCAGUGAUGUGCGGAGCGGACUGAUACUAAUCGAUCGAGGACUUAACCAAAAA